AGUGCUGAUGUUGUUGCACUUUGUGGAUGGCAGCUGACCUUGGAUGCGUUGGAUGCCCUACGGUCACAUGUGCAAAUCCUGUGCAGACAGUACAAUCUGAGUCAGCAGCAUCGUUGUAUAAGGAUGACCACCAAACUCCUGGUAAAAGGCUCCAUCGACGGCGUCCUAUGAA
Molecule: long non-coding RNA, 172 nt
Organism: Hibiscus syriacus
Lineage: Eukaryota; Viridiplantae; Streptophyta; Magnoliopsida; Malvales; Malvaceae
Exons: 2
Source: RefSeq, a predicted model, not a curated record